Molecule: non-coding RNA, 5238 nt
Organism: Xyrichtys novacula (pearly razorfish)
Lineage: Eukaryota; Metazoa; Chordata; Actinopteri; Labriformes; Labridae
Source: the annotation of a GenBank genome assembly
UUGGGGGGAAAGUGAUGAGCAGACCACCUCCACUGUAAAGGCGGCCCAGGCUGUCCCGGUAAUGUAUGGAACAGCUUUGUCCCCGCAGAUAAGAGCAGCAUCCAGGAAUGUUCCACAUUUUUCCGCCUUACAGGACCCUCUAGACCCCAGCUGCCAAGACAAGUCGGGAGGGUCCUCCUCUCUGGCCUGGGGGGGGUGAUCAUACGGUGCGUUAGAGUCGCUGGUUUCCUCUGAGAGAAGAAUCAUCUCUUGAAGAUAAGGGUGUUUCAUUGCAGUGAGAGUGUGACAGGGAUAUAAAAGUUCAAUCUACUGUGAGUUUAAGCCAAUUUCGAUGGGUCAUGCACUUUUACAUGCAUUUUAACGGAGACGUUUAUCCGUUUUUCCUGGACCACACACGGUUAAAUAUCUCAAGAUAUUUUAAGACGUCACUGGGCUUUUCUUUAAGAAUUGGUUGCAUUUUAUUUUGUGAUCCGAUUAGAUUCAAAGGAACGUAAACUGGGGUCACGGUGAAAGCAAUAGUAGCAUUACAGCAUCGGAGUUUAUGAUUGGGUCAGUCAGAGAUUAUUUCCCACUCUGACUCAUAAAAGCCAGACAGACUGGGGACAACUCUUCAGUAUAGAAGGAGUUUUAUUAUAUUGUCUACACAUAUUUAUCAUAUAUCUGAAUUUAUGCUUUCCCAAUGGGCUCACAAUGAAUAAGAGUAAUCCUGUUUUUACCAUUUUCUGUAAGAUUUAUCCCUCUCUAGUCAUUUGAGAUAUUCAUAGGAUAGUGUAAUACUUUCAUUUAGGUUCAAAACUUUGUAAACACUGUGAAGGUUUCUCAACUACCAACAGAUCAGAAACUAAUAAGAUAAUGGAUUAUCCAACAUCUUAGAGGGGGUCACCAAACUGUAUCUCAAGUCACAGCAAAUGUCAAACCAAUAGGUACAAACAAUGACGUCCAAUCAGCUAAUUUAAAGAUACAGUGUGUAGUUUUUAUUGACAUUAAGUAGAUUUAAAAUGUAACUUUAAAUGUAACAGUGUGUUUACAUUAGAGCUUUUUAUGCCUGCAGGAGUGGGUCCACUUCUAAGAAGCCACCAUGUCUCUACAGUUGCUUUGAAUUGACAAUCUAGACAAAGACGGCAUUUGUUGUUGUGCAUGAAAGAAAAUUGUACUGAUAGUUGUUCUCAGAGGCCAGUAUCGCCUCGAAACUUCACAAGCAUUUCAAUUUAGUAUGUGACUGCCUAAAACCACUAAAAAAAAAAAUCCAAUUUCUCGACAGUACCUUCAGAGGGGAUUUUUUCAACGUUUUUUCUCUUUUUAUUUUAUCAACCAAAUUCACUUUUAGACUAGCUUUGCAUGACUUUCAUCUCAAAAGACACUUUUUUCUCUAGGGUCCCUGAAAAGCUAUAUUUCUCCAAAAGCCUUAGAUGCUUUAUUUUGGCGAGCCUUUCCAGUGAUGCAAAAUUAGACACAGCUUGUUGAAAAGUUAUCACACUACAGAAAACGUCUAGGACUAGCCAUUAGCACUCACUCUGCUCCCCAUUUAGCCAUGUUGACAUGCAUUCGCUAAUGUUACUUACAGCUUGAUUGAAGGUCUUUAAGGGUUGAACAGCCUCAAGUGUAAGCAACAUUUCAGAUAUAAAUCCGGCUCGUUCUGGCCUUAGGAUUGCAAACAAAUCAUCAGUGAAGUUGGGAGUAAAAACAUCUUUAUCUUUGGCAGGGAAGGAACACACGUUAGCAUGUUUCUGAGACAUAAUGAAGUGCAGAGGAAAAAGCUGAGUGGUGUAACAGCAUUUCCAGCUUCAGGGUGGGCAUGUCUUUGACAGAGCUGCGGCCAAGUCCCAGCGUAACACGUUUCCUUCAAGUAAUUAAUCAAUAGCAGUAAUAUCCGGACUCUUGGGUGGUGAAUAUUACCAAUAGCCAUGAAUUUAGGCUGUUCACGAAACAUAACAAACCUCAAAUGAGAUAACAAAUCUGCCAUAUUCGUCUUUAUGCCUCCUGAUUUAUAAUCAAAUUUGCAGUCUUGCGAUUAGGGGACAAAAGAAGAGCAUCUAAAACUGCAGCAGUAACUUUUCUUUGAAGAAUUUUAAUCAAGGAUUUAUUAGUGUUGUCGACCCGUGGCUCUUCGUUGUUUUUCCAUCAUUCCCUGACCUCAAACUCGAGGGACCUCAAGCUGCAAAUCUGCAUCCGAUGGUGAAGGACUGCCUCAAACCCUGACAUUAUUUCAGCAGGGCAGGAAGAGACAGUCCAUUCUGCAAAUUGACUCCUUCAGGAGGCUGUGGUCUUGCAAUCUCCUCACCUCCCCAGUGUUCUCCUCUGCUGGGAGAUACGCACAAAGCAGGAAACCGAUCCUGCGAAGACGGGCGUGGAUUUAUGACACGGAGGCAAGUGCGAGCGAGGAAGGCCUAUUCCCAUCUGGGCUGGGAGCCACCGCUGCACUUGGAGAUUUAUAGCGAGGAUGACACAGCUGAUUACUCUCGGUUACUGAAGAGAAUUGGACAUGGACCGGCCACAGGGCGGUUCAGAGUGUGUAUUUGUGUUUAUGAUGUUGCAAAUGGAAGCACAGUAACCCACUUUUGUUUGGCUUGCUCCUCAUCAAACCUCCUCGACCUCUGUGGCCUGAGGUUCCCUCCGAUGGACAGGACAGAUAACGUGACCUGGGGGACAAUCAGUGACGGAAUAAAGGGACAGAGGGCUGAAAGACAAUAACACACCCAGACUAAUGGAAAAAGCAUACAGAAUGUUGGGCAUGCCAUCUCUGGAUGUGAAGAAAUGCAGAGACUUUGCAGUGACCCCAUAAACCGCAUGUGCUGUGGACAUUUCCUUAUUCCUCUUGACAAAUUUGUGGGCUUGGCGUUAUGCUGCGGCCAAAUCCUGGACUUUGAGAGUUCAGCCAAACCAAAUAAUGGCUGCACAAUGGCUGAGGAGUUUUUAUGACCCCGCUGACCCCGUCUGGAGCGAGAGUCCGGAUUACGGUCCUGGGCAUACUCAAGAAGCGAACUCCCAAACGUCUGUCACCUUGUCCGAUGUCUCACGGAUGGCUCUCCGCCUUCUUGGCAGAUGCGACCACCAAACCAAGAUAAUAAAGUCGUAAAGUCUCGCUCUUACCCGCUCAAUAAAUCAACGUGAGGCAAGUGAAAGCAGCAAGUGAGGAGCCAAGUAAAGCCAGAUGUUUGUCUGUUUUCCUUGAACUAACAUUAAACAUGUGUAAUGAGAUUCGUCAUUUGGUUAACAGCGGGUAACGGCGUCUUGUGCAUUGUUAGGGAGCGGUUGAACUCAACCGAAGAUUUGGGUUUGCACAUCUACAGUUUUUCUUAGUUUCAUCCUGGGGUGAAGAAGUCAACGCAUGUCAGGAAAGACAAAGGACAGACCCUUACAUUGGUCCACAUCAUCUUGGAAUAAGUGCGGUUUUCUCACAAACCGCUUGUCCCUCCCAAAGGCCUAAAAGUAGGCUUAGGGCCUAAAGUCCAUUCCAUCCGUCUCAUUCCUCUUAGCUGCUUGGAUGGGACUUUGGGUGAAAGAAGUUUCCCUGUGUGUGAUUGAUGAGCCAUGGCCAAUUAGAGGCUUAGCCCUGGAGGCCCACAAAGACACCCGGGAUCGCAGACAUAAACACUGGCGGCCAUAGGGUCUGAGGAUACCUGUUGUCCAGGACUAGGAGCAGCAGCUGAGGAGGACAAUGUUUCAGCUUUGGAGGUUUCGGAUGCAACGCCAGCUGGACGUACCUUUAAAAAGAAGUCCUAUAAGACUGUAAAAGUCUGUCUCACGUGGAAAUUCCUGUCAGUAUUCCAGUAUGGUGCCAUAUUAGUGAGGGUAGGGUGAUGGUGGGUGGCGGGUUCAUCUGACACCCUGCGGUUGACGAGCAACAGGGCGCCAGGCGGGGGCUCAUUAGACAAACUAUGACAACAAGACAUUGCCCUUGAAAAUCAAUUAUAAACAGAGGAGCGUCCCUGCAUCUGUUUCUGCUUGUAGCUAUGCAGCACUGUCUGCCUCUUUUUGUUUUUUUUCACAAGGUUUGCCUCCACUGCCGUUCAGAUGGACAUCCCAGUGGGAUUAGCGAUGGCACUGAAGCCUCUGGGACAGCGCUUGUAAAUCAGAGCAGAUGAACUGGAGCGAUGACAGGUCUGGGAGGCCUCUGUUAUUUGACUGCGCCGUUUAUUAGAGCUUCCAGGAGGGGGGUGGCUUCUCAUUAAAGGCUCUGAGUGUGUCCCCCAGUGUGAGGCAUGUAAAAAGUAGAGUAAAAAAUGAUGCGGCGGUUCUGCCAGGGCCAUAUGUGGGGCUUUUGCGUGGACUAACAGGGUCUUAUUAAUGUCCAUUAAUGACCCUUCAGCACUUUGCUUAUACAACCUUGGGGCCCAGGCUACCUUCAAUUGAUUCAACAUGUCACCUUUUCACCACUAAGUGCCAAAAAGCUGUUCUUUAAAUAGAAAUCUGGGUAAAUUCCUGGGCUCUUGAAACUGCUAAAGGGACCUGUUUUCCACCUACCAUCACAACCUGGCAGUCAACCAGGCGGCCAGAGAUCCUCACACGGUGCUAGUUCAUCAAUCUUACAGACGUUUGCCUUACACUUAAGAAUUGUUUGUCCCUGCUCUCCUUGAUAUAAAAUAAACUAUUUUUAGACUACCACGAAUUAUCAUAAGUGGUCAGUUGUUAUUUUAUGAGAAAACAUACAGACCUUCAUUUACAUGUCUAACAUUUUCUUUACUUUUUCUUUUUUAUUCACUUCUUUUUUAACCUAAUCAUUCCAAAGCCACCGCAAAGUUCGAUUCACAUAAACAUAGUAGCUGUAUAAUAUCAGGGACACCUGUAGAGUUACUCGCAGCUCAAAAUCUCCUUACUUUCUUAUACUGGCAUCCAUAAAACCAUAAUUUCAGCGCUAGUCCUGACCUCUGAAGCUAGCGCACUGAGCAAUAGACGGCUACUAGACGUCAAGUUUUUUUUUAUUUAGACCUAAUUUCAACCAUCUAGAUUCUGUUUAUUUUUAUGCAAACUUUGGAUAGGCAUUUGAAUAGGCAUUUUUGGAAUUUGGAUGUUGCACUUUAACCCACUAUUCGAUAAGUAUUUUUUUUAAAAAGUAACUGUGAGUUGCAUAACUGAUCUCCAAGUACUUAACCAAAAUAAUUAUGAUUAUGAUAAUUAUGAUAGCCGUUGAGCAAUAUACAGUGUAGUAUAGAUAUAGCUCUGAUUUAGAUUUAGUCUAAACUUGGACUAAAUUUAGACGUCUAAAAAACUCUAAUUUUUAGAUCUGAUUUUACAUCA